CGCGCAUGGUGGAUUCACAAUCCACUGCCUUGAUCCACUUGGCUACAUCCGC
Molecule: transfer RNA, 52 nt
Filed under: Bromus tectorum (cheatgrass)
Lineage: Eukaryota; Viridiplantae; Streptophyta; Magnoliopsida; Poales; Poaceae
Also listed under: 6 other names
Description: partial tRNA-His
Source: RNAcentral